Molecule: non-coding RNA, 156 nt
Filed under: Candidatus Omnitrophota bacterium
Lineage: Bacteria; Pseudomonadati; Candidatus Omnitrophota
Description: 6S RNA
Rfam family: 6S / SsrS RNA
About the family: E. coli 6S RNA was the first non coding RNA to be sequenced, but its function was unknown until recently. It consists of 184 nucleotides that fold into an extended hairpin structure with a large single-stranded internal bulge.
Source: RNAcentral
AAAUCCCUGCAGUGUGCGUUAGCAGCCAUUAAUAAAGAACCAAUUAAUGGAUACGGGACGCUAAACCUCCAGGAUAUCUGUGGAUAUUCUGGGGAGGUUCCCACUUAGUGAAAAGGUUCACUUAUUCCUAGGCGCGACGGCAUAUGCGGGGAUUUU